UACGUAGGGUGCAAGCGUUGCCCGGAUUUAUUGGGCGUAAAGGGCGCGUAGGCGGUCAGGUCAGUCCCGUGUGAAAUCCCUCGGCUCAACUGAGGAACUGCACGGGAAACUGCCUGGCUUGAGUUCGGGAGAGGGAAGCGGAAUUCCGGGUGGUAGCGGUGAAAUGCGUAGAUAUCCGGAGGAACACCGGUGGCGAAGGCGGCUUCCUGGACCGACACUGACGCUGAGGCGCGAAAGCUAGGGGAGCAAACGGG
RNAcentral lists this ribosomal RNA (254 nucleotides) under uncultured bacterium. RNAcentral describes it as "partial 16S ribosomal RNA". It matches the Rfam family "Bacterial small subunit ribosomal RNA", at positions 524 to 776 of the family's 1533-position model. The record is from RNAcentral.